AAAGGGCGCGUAGGCGGGUUGGCAAGUCCGCUGUGAAAGCCUGUGGCUUAACCACAGAGGGUCGGUGGAUACUGCCAGUCUUGAAGGUGCUAGGGACAGAUGGAAUUACCAGUGUAGCGGUGAAAUGCGUAGAUAUUGGUAGGAACACCAGUGGCGAAGGCGGUCUGUUGGAGCACACUUGACGCUGAGGCGCGAAAGCUGGGGGAGCGAACGGGAUUAGAUACCCUUGU
This 230-nucleotide ribosomal RNA is filed under the name uncultured bacterium. RNAcentral describes it as "partial 16S ribosomal RNA". It matches the Rfam family "Bacterial small subunit ribosomal RNA", at positions 562 to 791 of the family's 1533-position model. The record is from RNAcentral.